GAUGAACGCUGGCGGCAUGCCUUACACAUGCAAGUCGAACGGCAGCACGGGAGCAAUCCUGGUGGCGAGUGGCGAACGGGUGAGCAAUGUAUCGGAACGUACCUUUCAGUGGGGGAUAACGUAGCGAAAGUUACGCUAAUACCGCAUAUUCUGUGAGCAGGAAAGCAGGGGAUCGCAAGACCUUGCGCUGAUUGAGCGGCCGAUAUCAGAUUAGCUAGUUGGUGAGGUAAAGGCUCACCAAGGCGACGAUCUGUAGCGGGUCUGAGAGGAUGAUCCGCCACACUGGAACUGAGACACGGUCCAGACUCCUACGGGAGGCAGCAGUGGGGAAUUUUGGACAAUGGGCGCAAGCCUGAUCCAGCCAUGCCGCGUGAGUGAAGAAGGCCUCGG
RNAcentral lists this ribosomal RNA (390 nucleotides) under uncultured bacterium. Its description in RNAcentral is "bacterial SSU rRNA". It matches the Rfam family "Bacterial small subunit ribosomal RNA", at positions 28 to 420 of the family's 1533-position model. The record is from RNAcentral.